This 468-nucleotide ribosomal RNA is filed under the name uncultured bacterium. RNAcentral's name for it is "partial 16S ribosomal RNA". It matches the Rfam family "Bacterial small subunit ribosomal RNA", at positions 28 to 507 of the family's 1533-position model. The record is from RNAcentral.
GACGAACGCUGGCGGCGUGCUUAACACAUGCAAGUCGAACGGAAAGGCCCUGCUUUUGUGGGGUGCUCGAGUGGCGAACGGGUGAGUAACACGUGAGUAACCUGCCCCUGACUUUGGGAUAACUUCAGGAAACUGGGGCUAAUACCGGAUAGGAGCUCCUGCUGCAUGGGGGGGGUUGGAAAGUUUCGGCGGUUGGGGAUGGACUCGCGGCUUAUCAGCUGGUUGGUGGGGUAGUGGCUUACCAAGGUUUUGACGGGUAGCCGGCCUGAGAGGGUGACCGGCCACAUUGGGACUGAGAUACGGCCCAGACUCCUACGGGAGGCAGCAGUGGGGAAUAUUGCACAGUGGGCGGGAGCCUGAUGCAGCAACGCCGCGUGCGGGAUGACGGCCUUCGGGUUGUAAACCGCUUUCGCCUGUGACGAAGCGUGAGUGACGGUAAUGGGUAAAGAAGCACCGGCUAACUACGUG